Long non-coding RNA from Halichondria panicea, 4090 nucleotides. RefSeq lists it as uncharacterized. The record is from RefSeq and is a predicted model, not a curated record. The transcript has 3 exons. NCBI's taxonomy places the organism in Eukaryota, Metazoa, Porifera, Demospongiae, Suberitida, Halichondriidae.
CUCCUCGUAAAUUUUUUGAGGAAUGGUUAUCUGAGGUGCAAUUUGGGUUUUUUGUGUGCUUCAAACCACUAGUAUAUAGUUUUAUUGAUGAAAUUUUAGAGAAAAGUCAUAUAUUUUUAUUAUGACAUCAUAGAUUUCUAGGGGGGGGAAUUUGGCUGGGGGUGGGAAAUCCCAUGCAGGGCGCCCCCCUCUCUGUAUGAAACCCUGCUGAUCAUGACAAUCGUUUGAGUCUUACUAAAAACAUUUGCAAUGUGAAAAUUGCUAAGGUUGGCCUAGUCUCAUGAAUCAGCCGCCCUUCCUAGAGACCGCCUGAGCAUUUUUUUGGCUAGGCCGGAAUACCAACUUGACCAAUCAGACAAAAUAGAGGAAAUAAAGGAAAUAAAGAAUGACAAGAAGCAUAUGCGUUAUACGCAUAUGGGACGCAUUUAUAGUCCGCCUACAGUCUACACUAAGACUCCAAAUUUGGCUUCAAAUGAUGUAAUUGUGGUUAUGCAUCAUAGUGAGUAAAUUUCCUUGCGGUUACAUAACAACUGUUUGUGGCUUGUAAAUACUACAGUAAUUCUCCGUAAAUUUAAUUAUGGCUUCUGUUACAUCAUUGUUUACUAUCAGAAUUGGAUAAAGAAACAGUUUUUCCAGCAUUCAUAUAUACUUUACCCAGGUCCUGAAGUGCAAGCCAGGUUCCAGAGUCACAGUACUAGUAAAUGUAGCUAUAUUAUUCAUGAACUGGCCACAGGAAAAUUAGGAUCCAGAACUGGGGAGUACUAAUUUGCCCAGAAAUCAAAGUCAGUCCAAACAGGAUAAUUAUAUCCAAUAAACUAAAAUUUUAGCCAAUGUUAGUACACAAGACCUUCUAUAAAAAAAUAUUGGUAAAGCGGAUGCUGUUUAUUUCUUUGCAAAGACUAACUUCUAGCAUUCUAUUAGCAAGAAACUCUGGACACUCAAGUGGCAAGUAGGCAAGAGCUAUAUAACUUACUCAUUUUUGUCAAUGUUUACUUUCAAAUUGUUGUAUCUUAGUUAAACCUGGGUCAUUAGUGUUGGUCUACUUGUAGUUACCAGUGUUGUCUAUAGUCUAGGUCUAUCUGUAUCUGUCCAGCACCCCGAGUACUGAUUUGCCCAGAAAUCAAAGUCACAGACAAAAUUAGUUUUCUUUCAUUCAAUGUAAAUUCAGUUCCUUCUUACCACUUUAUUUUUAUAUCAUUCAGUAGCUUAUUUAUUCAGCAUUAUUUCUAUAGUGUUAGGCACCUUCUGAUGAAUGGCCUGUGCAACACUUUUCUUGGUUUGUUUAGCAACAGUCAUGGAGCAAGCCAAACAAAAAUUCAUAGCUGCUAGUUCACUCAUAAACGCUUCUUGCAAGCAUUCGCGAUUGACUUUUUGCAUGCGUUGUAUUCUUCCAGUUUUAACACUGGCGUAAUAACUCCAAUGACCCAAUCUAAAGUGCUCAGACGGUAUCCCCCCUAGCUAUAGGAAGGACGGGUGAUUCAUGAGACUAGGGUUAGCUGGAGAAAGCAAACUAACCUGCAAAAUUAGUGGUGCCAAUCGGGACAUUCCAUGUCAACUCAACACAAAAAAAUGAGCACCCUCUCCAAAACUUGGCAUAUACAUCAGGGCCGUAAUUAAGAACCAAGGGGGGCUGUUGCCCCUCCCACUCUGAAAACCAGGGGGGCAGAGCCCCCUGGUUUUCAGGCAGUGAAAUGGGGUUGGGCUCCUCUUCAGAGUCCAGCAGAUCACAGUCCUGAUAUUUAUGCCUCGGUGCGCAUGCGCAAGCGAGGUAUAUGGUAGUGUGUGUGUGUGUGUGUGUGUCUGUCUGUCUGUCUGUCUGUCUGUCUGUCUGUCUGUGUAGACUGCUACAGCUGCAAUGAAGUGCAAGUAAGAGUUUCUAUAGGCUUCUAGUCAUGUUUUCUUGGAUUUUAAUUCGUGGAUUUGCAAAAUAAUGCUUUGUUCUCGAGUUAUGCCUAGUUUUGCUUUACUUGGAAUGCCAUGCAUUGCAGCCUUUCGGAAGAGCACGUAGCCAAACUUGUUUACCGAGUGUUGUUAUACUCUACUUAGUAGUUAGCUCUGCACUAGAACGCUAGCUAUUGGUAGCUGCAAGAGUGAAAAGAGAGCUGCAAGGCUCUGCUGACUUCAUCGAUCGUUUUUAACAACAAUCAUCGUCGAUCAUUACCCACUCUUUGAGUUUCCCUGGAUUUUGCAUGCAAAAAUGUUCAUCAUGAUAAUUAUAAUCAAUGUGUGUAUAAAGCUAGCUUAGUAGCUUUAUGUUAUGUAGCUUUGGCAUCUCCACGGAGGCAUCAACACCUGUGGUAUAAUUUAUAUGUUUGUGUAGGGAGCACCUCGAGAGGCUAAUGGCCUACUGUGCUUCCCUUUCCUGUGUGUUGGAUAAAUCUGAUCUAGGCUAGCUAGCUGGACCUACGUACGUAACUAGUACCUAGGCUAAUUUAAAGUGCAUAGGUCAACUAGAUCUAUUGCUGUUGCUGAGUCAGCUCCUUGAGCAAUGUUUUGUAGCCUCGAUCCCAUGCCCAUAUGGGGUGCCGUUUGUCUCAAAACUAAUAAAGAGUCGAUAUUUACCAACGAGGUGGAUGUUUACCUACCAGAUCGAUGUUUAGAGACAAAUUUAUGCUUAUCAGAUCGAUGUUUAGCAACCAGAUCUUUGCAGACCAGAUCGAUGUUUAGAGACCAAAUCGAUGUUUAGAGACCAGGUCGAUGUUUAGCAACCAGGUCGAUGUUUAGCAACUAGGUCGAUGUUUAGCAUGCAACCAGAUCGAUGUUUAGCAAAGCUACCAGAUCGCACAAAGUGCAGAUAUUAGGGCGUGGUUUCUUGUGAUACUUAAUGUGCUAGCUAGUUGCAAGAUGUUAUAGCCAUUGCUCUUACUACUGCUGUUACAAACAGCGGUUUACUUAGUAGAUUCUGAAGAUGAAAAUAGCACUGGCUAUAAUUAGGCAGUAGGGCCUAGGAGCGGCAUUCACAGGGCCGUAAGAACCAGGGGGGCAGAGCCCCCCUGGUUUUCAGACAGUGAAAUGGGGUGGGGCUCUUCUGCAGAGUCCAGCAGAUCACAGUCCUGAUAUUAUAUGUGCCUUUUAAUCUAACCACAUUGGUUAAAUGCAUGUGGUUUGUUGCAACAACACUGUACAGUAACUAAAGUAAGUUGAUCCACAUGCAGCUGAACUUUAUAUAGCUAGAGCUCACUAUGGCACAAUAUUCAUUCUUUAUUUUCCUCCGUACCUCACUGCCUGCCCAUGACGAAGAAGGUAUAGGCGAACUAAGACCUUCUUCUUGCGAAGCUCGAUGACUUCCCAGCGUCUAUACUUACUUUAUAUACACAAGUUGCUAACUGAUUCGCUUGACUUUGAAGCAGUUGCUCGUGGCUUUGCUUCUACUAACACACGUCGAAUAAACAAUUUUGCUAUAGCUCUCACAUGCAGAUUAUUUCAUUAGUAAAACCAUAGGUUUUACAUAGGAUUGGCAGUGGUCCUAGCAAUUUUUCACAUUGCAAAAAUGUUUUUCUAGUCGGCAGUCGAACGGCCAAGACCCGGAAGUUCAAUGUAAAUGCCGUACACUUAUUUAAGUAUGCAUUAUGCAUUACAUCAUUGCUUGAGUUAGUUCGAGAAAGAAGGUUGACUUCAGUACUGCAUUGUGCAGAAGAGAAUAUUCAAGAGCAACUGUGACUAUCAUAUCCAUGUAGAUCAUCACAAGAGCUACAGUUUGAGGCAUCACUCGAGGCAAAUGCUCUUACAGAAGCCACACUACACAGUGUCAAAGAAGACAACUACAUUUUAGUGCGGUAGCUUCCAGCGUUAUAUUUUCAGUUCCCAAGCAUAUGAAGCAGAUCUGAUCAAUGAGUACUGUAAAGCGUUGAUGUCAAUCACCACUGAAGAUGUUCGCUAUUUUACACUGAGGAUACCCAUUGUGCUCACUCUCUUCCAGUAUCUGGACAAGUCACAAAAAGGUGAUAUCAAGCCUCUGAAUGACAGGACAUCACCGCUGUGAGACUCCAACACUACUUCUAGACAAACAUUUAUUCUUAUUACCUUCUGUGUUUGUUGAAAUGUAUCAUAUGCACCUUACAUAUUGUUGUUUGGCCAACAAGCAUUGAGU